This 557-nucleotide ribosomal RNA is filed under the name uncultured bacterium. Its description in RNAcentral is "bacterial SSU rRNA". It matches the Rfam family "Bacterial small subunit ribosomal RNA", at positions 102 to 694 of the family's 1533-position model. The record is from RNAcentral.
ACGGGUGAGUAACGCGUGGGAAUCUACCGUACCCUACGGAAUAGCUCUGGGAAACUGGAAGUAAUACCGUAUACGCCCUAACGGGGAAAGAUUUAUCGGGGUAUGAUGAGCCCGCGUUGGAUUAGCUAGUUGGUGGGGUAAAGGCCUACCAAGGCGACGAUCCAUAGCUGGUCUGAGAGGAUGAUCAGCCACAUUGGGACUGAGACACGGCCCAAACUCCUACGGGAGGCAGCAGUGGGGAAUAUUGGACAAUGGGGGCAACCCUGAUCCAGCCAUGCCGCGUGAGUGAUGAAGGUCUUAGGAUUGUAAAGCUCUUUCAACGGUGAAGAUAAUGACGGUAACCGUAGAAGAAGCCCCGGCUAACUUCGUGCCAGCAGCCGCGGUAAUACGAAGGGGGCUAGCGUUGUUCGGAAUUACUGGGCGUAAAGCGCACGUAGGCGGGUAUUUAAGUCAGGGGUGAAAUCCCGCAGCUCAACUGCGGAACUGCCUUUGAUACUGGGUAUCUUGAGUAUGGAAGAGGUAAGUGGAAUUGCGAGUGUAGAGGUGAAAUUCGUAGA